Molecule: ribosomal RNA, 253 nt
Filed under: uncultured bacterium
Lineage: Bacteria
Description: partial 16S ribosomal RNA
Rfam family: Archaeal small subunit ribosomal RNA
Source: RNAcentral
UACCAGCACCCCGAGUGGUCGGGACGUUUAUUGGGCCUAAAGCAUCCGUAGCCGGUUCUACAAGUCUUCCGCUAAAUCCACCUGCUUAACAGAUGGGCUGCGGAGGAUACUAUAGAGCUAGGAGGCGGGAGAGGCAAGCGGUACUUAAUGGGUAGGGGUAAAAUCCGUUGAUCCAUUGAAGACCACCAGUGGCGAAGGCGGCUUGCCAGAACGCACUCGACGGUGAGGGAUGAAAGCUGGGGGAGCAAACCGG